RNAcentral lists this ribosomal RNA (468 nucleotides) under uncultured bacterium. Its description in RNAcentral is "partial 16S ribosomal RNA". It matches the Rfam family "Bacterial small subunit ribosomal RNA", at positions 28 to 507 of the family's 1533-position model. The record is from RNAcentral.
GACGAACGCUGGCGGCGUGCUUAACACAUGCAAGUCGAACGGAAAGGCCCUGCUUUUGUGGGGUGCUCGAGUGGCGAACGGGUGAGUAACACGUGAGUAACCUGCCCUUGACUUUGGGAUAACUUCAGGAAACUGGGGCUAAUACCGGAUAGGAGCUCCUGCUGCAUGGUGGGGGUUGGAAAGUUUCGGCGGUUGGGGAUGGACUCGCGGCUUAUCAGCUUGUUGGUGGGGUAGUGGCUUACCAAGGCUUUGACGGGUAGCCGGCCUGAGAGGGUGAACGGCCUCAUUGGGACUGCGAGACGGCCCAGACUCCUACGGGAGGCAGCAGUGGGGAAUAUUGCACAAUGGGCGGAAGCCUGUGGCAGCAACCCCGCGUGCGGGAUGACGGCCUUCGGGUUGUAAACCGCUUUCGCCUGUGACGAAGCGUGAGUGACGGUAAUGGGUAAAGAAGCACCGGCUAACUACGUG